Nycticebus coucang (slow loris) is the source of this 907-nucleotide long non-coding RNA. RefSeq lists it as uncharacterized. The record is from RefSeq and is a predicted model, not a curated record. The transcript has 6 exons. NCBI's taxonomy places the organism in Eukaryota, Metazoa, Chordata, Mammalia, Primates, Lorisidae.
AUAUGGGGCCGGCACCCUACUCACUGAGCCACAGGUGCUGCCCAGAUCACUCCUAUAUUCACCUGAGAGUCCACUUCCAGAGGAGCUGAUAGGAGACGUGGAAGACGCCGUCUGCCUCCACGCCUUUUACUGUGCCAUAUGGAGGCGCUGCGGUGCCCUCCCUGCGCGGUAUAACUGGUGGCUGCAGGCCCCUGAUGUUCUCUUCUACCCGCUGAGGCCGGAGUUGGUGGAGUCCACGUACCUCCUCUACCCGGUACUAGAGUGCGCUGAGCAGUGCUCUGUGUGGAAACGCUGGGAAGACUGGAGCCUCCGGUUCUUCAUCAACACCUGCUGACUGAGAUGGAGAAAGGGGAAAUCAUGUGAACCAGUAAUGAUCCUUAUGCCUAAAGACUGACCUCAUGAAUUUUAGCGAAUCUCUCAGAAAAGAAAGCCUGUAACUGGAUAAUUUAUAAAGAAAAGGAACUUAUUUCAUACAGUUACGGAGUCUGAGAAGUUCAAGAGAUUCUUUGGCUAAAAUGUUCGAGGUGGAUCAAAAGGAGCAAUCCUACAUGGCAUAGACUAAAUCAAGCAAAUAGAAAGCUUCUCCUUCACAGACUCAAUAUUAUGGUUUCCCGCCUGUGCUGAUUGUUCGUUCUUGGUAUUUCAAUACAGAGUACAGAGUUCCCUUAAUGUAUUGCUGACAAAACGUGAGUAUAAAGCUACAGCUCCUCAGAUACGAUAAGGAGAGAUGGCUGGAACUCCUUCGUGUUCAGUUUACCUUCUGGAUAAUGGUUUAUCUGCUAGCAUUACAUGUUCCCUUUUAUAAAGCACCAUCAAAAUCAGCUAAUAGUUUUAAGAAUGCAAAUUUUGCCUUUCAAGUGUGAUCAAGAACUCAUUGAGAGUUCACAUGUCUUCAAGUCUCCAUGUG